Myotis lucifugus (little brown bat) is the source of this 76-nucleotide non-coding RNA. The record is from Rfam. Lineage: Eukaryota; Metazoa; Chordata; Mammalia; Chiroptera; Vespertilionidae.
GGCGGUUUUUGGGUGACACACCCCAGAAUUGGGCUCCCUCCUCUCUGGUUCUGGGGUGCGUCACCUGAGAACCACC